GUCAUCUGACCUUGACCUCAUUUUCAUGGUUCAGUGGUUAUAGUUAAGUUUUUGUGUUUUGGUCUGUUUUUCUUAUACUAUAUGCAAUAGGUCUACUAUAUUUUGUGUAUGGAAUGAUUGUAAGGUGUACAUGUCUAGCUGACGGGUGUCAUCUGACCUUGACCUCAUUUUCAUGGUUCAGUGGUCAAAGUUGAGUUUUUGAGUUUUGGUCUAUUUUUCUAAUACUUUAUGCAUUUGGUCAACUAUAUUUGGUGUAUGGAAAUAUUUUAUGAUCUAUAAGUCUGUUACGCAGGUUUUAUUUGACCAUGACCUCAUUUUCACGGUCCAUUGCUAAGUGUUAAGUGUUUUUGUUUUGGUCUAUUUUUCUUAAUUUAUAAGCAAUAAGUCAACUAUAUUUGUUGUAUUAAGGAAUUGUUAGCUGUACAUGUCUGCUUGGCAUGGUUCAUCUGACCUUGACCUCAUUUUCAUGGUUCAUUGAUCAAUGUUUCGUUUCUUGGUUAAUGUUGAGUUUAUGUGACAGUUGUAAUAAAGCUUUAUAUUUAGGUCUAUCAACAUAAUAUGAAUGAUUAGUAAAGAAGGCGAGACAUUUCAGCGUGUGCCCUCUUGUUAUUUAUUAUAUCAACCGGUAUAUCUUCUACUAUCUAUAAUACUAAAAUUACGAGGUCCAAUUUGUCAGCCGUCAUCGGGUAAAAACGACAAAUCAAAGAAUUCAACUCUAUAUAUAGC
This 726-nucleotide long non-coding RNA is filed under the name Mytilus galloprovincialis (Mediterranean mussel). Lineage: Eukaryota; Metazoa; Mollusca; Bivalvia; Mytilida; Mytilidae. The record is from RNAcentral.